UAAAUAUAAUAUAUUAUCUAUCCUUGUAAAAGAAGAAUUGUAUUCAAAAUGAUAUAUUUUAUCAUUCUGAGAAAUUUAAAAGCAGGCUUUGAAAGAAGCUGGGAGGGACACUGCCUUCUGCUAAAUUAUAUUAGCUUUGUAUUUAUUUUCAAAACCACGAGAAAUACGCUUUUAUUGAAGGAAAAUAAGAACAGACUUUUCUUAACCAUAAAGCUAGAACAAAUAGAGAACAUUACUCUGAGACAUUUUGUUGGCUUUCACUAAUGAAAGUUUUCAAUAUUUGGCUGCGUACUCUGUGCUUUUGAGUGUAAGGGGUUUUUUGUGCUUCAUCUUUGAAAAUCAUUUUUGAGAGUUUCUUUCUUCUCUCCUUCCAUUUAUUUAUUUUUUAAUAAUACAUUAACAGAUGUUAAUGUAUUGUAUGUUUUGAAAAAGUGCUACUGCCCUUUCCUUUGGGGAUUUUUGAAGAGACUUUAAGUUAUUAAGUAAUUGUUGUUACUUGAGCUAGUACUUGCCUUUACUCUUCUUUAAUCAGGAUUCAAUUACUGGUGAAGGUGAAUAAAAAUCUGUGAACAUAAAGUAAUUGUACUUACAGGGAUUUAGCACUGCAAAACAGUGUAACAGGGUAAGAACAAGGGUAAGAUAAAUAAAAAGUAGAAAAAAAAUGACUGCACUUAGUUUACAGCCCAACAAUGUAACGUGGAAAGGGAAAACUGUUAUGUUCAUUACUUUUAUUUAUUUUUUUGUCAUUGGGUAAAUUUGGAGACUGUAGAGAAUCUAAACACACACCCGUAUGUAUAUUGUAAUGUCUGUGUUUCCUGUAUAUCUUGCAUGGUGGGUGUGUUCUUAGGUUUGUGUACAUGUGCAAGUAUGUGUUUGUGUUGUGUGAGUUAGCGUAUAGCUGGAUGUCAUUGUGUAGAGGAGGUGACCGAUGCUGGCCCCAUCUCUAAGUUGAAGUUUAGUGAGUUUCUUAAGCCAGUAUGUGUGUAUCAUGUCAGGGUCCGGUACUGUCCAGUUCUUCAUACCUGAGGUUCUAUCUUGGAUGUCUGCCACUGCGAUGGUUACUGGGUUCUGUUCAGGGAGGUUGCUAUGCUCUUUUCUCAGAGAGACCAGCCAUUGACCAUUGUUGUUAUGUGCUGUCUCUUUCUCCCGUAUACUCUUCCAGUCCUGUUCAGUUUGUAGCCUUGGUGGGUCUGCACGCUCUGCUGUAUUUUUGAUUAUGCCAUUGAGCGUACACUUUUUCAGGUUGAGUUGCAAAUGGCCUGCUUAUCCAUCUGGCUUCCUUUUCUCUUGUGUUCAUCUUUAGGCAGCUGCUCAAGGCCAGGGACAUUUGUUAAAGGAGAAUGAGCUGAGCUGAGCUCGCUCGCUCGCUCGCUCGCUCGGACGCUGGCGGACAGAAAGUCGCUGCGGCCCUACAAGGUGUGGGGGCUGCCGGCUCGGGCCUCCUGAACUUUGAGAUAUCUUUCAUAUUUUCAUCGAGAAAAUAGUAAUAAAAAUACUGGUCCCCUAAUUUUAUUUCUUUUUUCCCCUCUCUGGUUAAUGCGAGACAGUGAGCCUUCAAACUCAGUCACAGAGACACAGGAACACUGUGGAAGCGCCUGCCAUAGAAAAUACAACACAGAUAAUCACAUAAACCCAUAUAACAACAUUUUAGAAGAACUUUUCACAAUGAAUACACCUGAUUUCUCAACAUCAUUCGUGUCCUCGAUACAUUUCAAGUGUGAUAUCCAUCACCAGGACACCAUGAUCACAAAUGAAACACACAGAAAAUAUAACAGUGAAGGAGCCAUACCAUGAAAAAUAUUUUUGAGCUUUUAAGUGUAUUAUACUGUUCAUUUCUCACUAUAAAGAACCCCAAAUUGGUAUUUUGAUCAGUUAACACAUUUCUGAGUAAUCCUCUAAAAACCUGCGCUUUAAACAGCAGCCCCUCCCAUGAAACGAGCAGGUCCUCUCGUGCUGACAUCACAAAUUAACAACCGCCCUUCAGGAAGAGUCUGCUCCACCCCCAGGCUAACACAAACACUUUCUCUGUGAAGCUAGCUGAUCACCGCUAGCUCUGUGAGCCCCCCACCAACGGCUCGUGCACAGUUGUACAGACACCGGCUUGCUCUGUUGUGAUCCAGUUUAGCGAUGGCAAAGAAAUACCCUUUCUCUUUAGCGUUUAAACUGUGCAUAGAAACUUCUGGGGAAAAAUCUGCCAGAUAUGUUGAGAUGGAUCCUGAACGUAUCCGAGAGUGGCUGCAAGCAGACGUGGAUUUUGAGAAGGUGGCAGGAGAAAGGGAGCAGACUGUUUACUGGUGGAGAAAGGGAGCAAUGAUUUGGGAGAAUUGGUUUGAACAUGGAUUAUUGUACAAAGGACAGAAAGGUGUGCGUGAAAACGAUAACCCUGUUUCUCAGCUGGAUUCAUAGUUUUCAUCUCUGUGAGCAGGGAGAUGGUUGAGGCAGAAAGAAAGUUUAUAUGACUGGAAAACUAAAGUCAUAAAUGUAGCUGACCCUGAAAGUAACCGUGUUUACGUUGAAUCUUCCUCUGUGUGGUAUCAAGAAGUGACAUCCACAUUGUUUUAUUGCCACUUUCAAUAAAAAAAAAAAAAGAAAUAGAACUGUAAACACAAGGCAGGGAACAACAAUGGGAGACUAAUUCAAAGACAAUGCAGCUGGGCUGAUUAAAAAGAAUUCAGGUGUGAGCAGUAGUAGAUGACAGAUAAACAAAUGUAUUGAAGCAGAAAAGAAAAGAAAAAAAGUCAAAAUAAAAAAAAAAUAUUGUGUUUCAAGAAAGUGUAAACCAUGGUUAAUUAUUUUAAUCAAUUUAAUAUCUAGAUACAAUAAAACGCUAAAACAUUUAGUUAUUUAACAAAUUACCAAUACUUUAACAUCCUUAAAUUAAUAAAACAAAAGGAUGAAGAUUCCUCCUUUCUUUAUUGCUUUUAAUAACAUAAACUAAAGAAUAUUUUUUAUUCAAAAAUGUACAUAUGAUAUUUGUCUAUAUAUUUUGACUUCAAUCUUUAAAAAUGGUGACCAUUUGGGAUUUUUAACCUGGUUAUUGUGAUUUUCUGAAAGUGAAAAUUCUAACGUACAUUCACGUCAAAUUUGGUGCUUAGAUGAUAAAAUGCACAGUUUGUCUGAAAUAUCAACCUAACCGACUCCCCUAAAUACAAUAGAAAACUUUAUUGAUCCCACAAAGGGGAAAUUACCUAAACAAUAUAUUAAAAAAAGACAAGUGACUAUCUACUGCUGAAAUUAGUACAUUUAAAAGUGUAUUUUUCACAAAGUACAUGUUUUUUUUGGUUUGUUAAAACGAUCCUUUCUCGCUGCUUCACACUUCACAUGGUUUACAUCAACUGGUUGUUUCCAGCAUUUGCACACGGUGCAUCUUCCCUUUGAGGCUUGAAAAUCCACUCAACCAAGGCUGUAAUUUUUUGUAUUUAAUUGAGGUUUUUUUUUUUUGUUGUUUUUUAAUUGAGUUGUUUUAUUUAUUUGUUUAUUUUUAGGAAAUAUUAAAAGCCAGAAAUGAUCAAAACAACUCUUGUAUUUUAGUGCAUCAUCAGAUUUCCACUUGUUCAGAUGAUUGUGUCUGCUAGAACUAUGUAACAGAAUGUGUCCCCACAUCUCUGCACACUGCAGUGGGGUGUGUAUAAACCAGUCUUUGACAAUAAUGGAUGAUUAAAACUGAUUAGAAUUCAGUGUGAUUUGUUGUUUUAGGUUGCUGAAGAACUUAUAUUUGUGGGCUGUUGUCUGGACUUUGCACAUUGUAACUUCACAUCAGUAAUUUUGGCAUCAAUAUUCCAUAUCUAGGGAUGGUCGUUGUUUCAAGGGGUUGGAUGUUUUUAACUACAGGGAGAAAACAAAAAAUGAUGUUGGCAGUAAGAGAUGGAAAGCUGUGCUGUUGAAAAUUGACAUGAUUUGAAGGACCGUGUGAUGCAGUGUGAUAGUUUUAUGGAUUAAAAAAGGACUCCUAAAGUGAAUAAAGCUGUGCUGAUAGAUGACAGAAACAUUCUGGGCUGGGCAGGGCAGCAGGUGAUGAGUUUCUUUACCACCAGUGUAAUAGGAUUUUGAUGAUCCUGUUUGUGUUUGUUGAGCACCACAAAGAGGUCGAGCGAAGUAAAAACAUGUGAUUACUAC
Molecule: long non-coding RNA, 4116 nt
Organism: Oryzias melastigma (Indian medaka)
Lineage: Eukaryota; Metazoa; Chordata; Actinopteri; Beloniformes; Adrianichthyidae
Exons: 2
Source: RefSeq, a predicted model, not a curated record